Anser cygnoides (Swan goose) is the source of this 1080-nucleotide long non-coding RNA. The record is from Ensembl. Lineage: Eukaryota; Metazoa; Chordata; Aves; Anseriformes; Anatidae.
AUGUUGCACAACCGGAGGGAGGGAGGCAGGGAGGGGCAGGUGCCGGCGGGGCAGGCAGGGAGGGAGCCGGCCCCGGCCUGCAGCACCCGAAGGGCAGGCGAGCCCCCCUGCUGCCCCCCAGGAGAGCGGCUCCACGUGGCACAGGGACGUCUCCAGCACCUGGAUUUAGCCCCGGAGGGGCCGUUCCUCGCAGGUGCUGGAGCGCUCCCAGGGGACUCCCUCCUGGCUGCCCCCAGGGAGCAAGAGCAAAAGGAGAGGAACAGAGGAGCCGAGCCCACGGUGCGCUGUGCGGCACAGACAGCGAGAGGCAGAGAUAAGGGCUUCAUUCAAGCGCUCUCACUCUCUGGAAGUCUCACGCAGAGCAGCUGGUCUCUAAGACAGUCGCAAGCACGACAUGCGAGCGCGGAGCGGUUCCGUUUCUGGGUGCUUUUAUUAGUGACACUCAGGCAGGGGCAUCCACUCGACCCCCCGCGCAAAGGAAAACGGCUGACUCAUUCUUCCAGCGAUGCUCGAGAGCAGGACACGGCGCUCUGGAGCAGCAGCACGGGUCCUCCCCGCGCUUUGCAAGCCAGAUCCCCGGAUCCGGGCUCAGACACCGCACACGUACGCACGCAACAGCUAAUCCGCGGAUGCGCCGGGUCCCUGGAUAGAGCAUCCGCAGCUUUUGCUUCCAAAAGCAGCCCGCUGAUGCUAGGGGCGGGAGGGAAACCUCUGAGAGCUGCAGUCCCGAGGUUUAAAACAUCUGUGGGCCACCAGCCAUUAAAUAGGAUGCUAUGCUGGUUUGCUGCUAUCGGGUCUUUACGCCAGGUUCAUCGCUGUGCCGGCUGGGCACCGUCCAGCAAUGCAUUAAGUGAUGGGACUAUUUCUGUUCUCAUCACAUGUUUGCUCUCAUCCUCUCCAGGGUGCGUGUGUGGGGAAAAACACAUUCAUUAUGGGGCGUCUUAUUUUGGUGAGGCUUUUCCUCUCCCUGCGUACGUGUGCUGUUGGGCUGGCAGAGGAGAAGGGGGGGGGGGUUAUUUUCCCAAUAUCCAGCAUACCCAGGUAUUUCUGUUAGAGGAGGCAAAGUCAAAGAAAUGCUAA